This 465-nucleotide ribosomal RNA is filed under the name uncultured bacterium. RNAcentral describes it as "partial 16S ribosomal RNA". It matches the Rfam family "Bacterial small subunit ribosomal RNA", at positions 338 to 795 of the family's 1533-position model. The record is from RNAcentral.
CCUACGGGAGGCAGCAGUAGGGAAUCUUCCACAAUGGACGAAAGUCUGAUGGAGCAACGCCGCGUGAGUGAAGAAGGGUUUCGGCUCGUAAAGCUCUGUUGGUAGUGAAGAAAGAUAGAGGUAGUAACUGGCCUUUAUUUGACGGUAAUUACUUAGAAAGUCACGGCUAACUACGUGCCAGCAGCCGCGGUAAUACGUAGGUGGAAAGCGUUGUCCGUAUUUUUUGGGCGUAAAGCGAGUGCAGGUGUGUCAAUAAGUCGGAUGUGAAAGCCUUCGGCUCAAGGGGAGAAUUGCAUCAGAAACUGUUGAACUUGAGUGCAGAAGAGGAGAGUGGAACUCCAUGUGUAGCGGUGGAAUGCAUAGAUAUAAGGAAGAACAGCAGUGGCGAAGGCGGCUCUCGGGUCUGCAACUGACGCUGAGGCUCGAAAGCAUGGGUAGCGAACAGGAUUAGAUACCCGAGUAGUC